UAAAUUUACACCCAGUUAGUUGUUCACUUUUCCAAGUGAAAUGAGGUAUUCUGUUUCCAAGUCUGAAUGAGGUAUUCCUCAAUACAUUAAUGUAGCUACCGUGAAGAUUCCACCGGAAAACUCACACUCAAACAACAGGAAAAAUAUUUGUUAUAGAUGCUACAGCUGUGGAAGCCUACAAUAUGUAUUAGAAAUGAUUCCAGAAAAUUCAGAGGGGUAGUCAAACUAAUGCCAAAUAUAUCACUUGUGCAAAUUUGUGGUCAUGACAAUCAUGUUAGUGAACAGAGAUUUAUCUUUUGUGUUUGUUUUGGGAGUUUAUCCCAAAUGAUUUUUUAUAUGACAAAGUCUUCUAGGGAAGAACAAACCUGUUAUAUAAAGCUUCUUCUUUUUGAGUGCUUGUUUUCCUU
Molecule: long non-coding RNA, 407 nt
Filed under: Bos taurus (domestic cattle)
Lineage: Eukaryota; Metazoa; Chordata; Mammalia; Artiodactyla; Bovidae
Description: long non-coding RNA NONBTAT014848
Source: RNAcentral